Molecule: ribosomal RNA, 596 nt
Filed under: uncultured bacterium
Lineage: Bacteria
Description: bacterial SSU rRNA
Rfam family: Bacterial small subunit ribosomal RNA
Source: RNAcentral
AGAGUUUGAUCCGGGCUCAGAACGAACGCUGGCGGCAGGCUUAACACAUGCAAGUCGAACGCUGUAGCAAUACAGAGUGGCAGACGGGUGAGUAACACGUGGGAACAUACCCUUCGGUUCGGAAUAACUCAGGGAAACUUGAGCUAAUACCGGAUACGUCCGCGAGGAGAAAGAUUCAUCGCCGAAGGAUUGGCCCGCGUCUGAUUAGCUAGUUGGUGAGGUAACGGCUCACCAAGGCGACGAUCAGUAGCUGGUCUGAGAGGAUGAUCAGCCACAUUGGGACUGAGACACGGCCCAAACUCCUACGGGAGGCAGCAGUGGGGAAUAUUGGACAAUGGGCGAAAGCCUGAUCCAGCCAUGCCGCGUGAGUGAUGAAGGCCUUAGGGUUGUAAAGCUCUUUUACCUGGGAAGAUAAUGACGGUACCAGGAGAAUAAGCCCCGGCUAACUUCGUGCCAGCAGCCGCGGUAAUACAAAGGGGGCUAGCGUUGUUCGGAUUUACUGGGCGUAAAGCGCACGUAGGCGGAUUCUUAAAUCAGGGGUGAAAUCCCGAGGCUCAACCUCGGAACUGCCUUUGAUACUGGGGAUCUUGAGUUCG